CUACUAUGUGGUAUAUAUAUAUAAGGCCUCACUUCCUGUUUUUGAGCAGAAAUAGUGGGGGAGAGAGAAGAGAAGAGAGCACUUUAUUAUCCUCCAAACUAUACAAUCCCUUGCUUGUUUCAGCUUUAUAUUUAUUCUCUACCUGCUUUCAACAUCAUCUGAAAAACUCCUGUGGCUGUGGCUGUGGCUGUGGCUGUGGCUGUGUGCCUGUGAAAAAGAUGCCCCUCCCUCCCUCAUGCCCUCAUCUCUCUUUCUUUUAUGUUUAAACCGAAUAACUUUGCCAGAUUUGUAGAGAUCUUCUAUCGCUUUCUAGCUCUUCUCUGACUCUCAUGAGGACUGCGAUCUUUCCUCUUCCCUGCCUUUAUUGCAGCUCCUAAAAAAAUAAAAUAAAAUAAAAUAAAAGACAUUGCAGCUGAAGCUGAUCACCGUGGAAGCACUGGAUGCUUUAUAGGUCAAUUUUCAUGCACGGCCAGUCUCAAUGGAGCUAUAUGGUGUCGCAGAAAACCGGUUUGAGAAACUGAUCUUUAGGUUUUAUAUAAGGUUGACAUCUUGAUGGAAACUUUAGUGUUAUUGCAGGGAGAAAAAGAAAUGGGUGGAUGGAUCUCUGAUUGCCAUAAAAUUAAUUAAGGUAACGGAUGAUCAUCAUCUCAACCUAAAUUGAUCUAAUAUUAGACACUAUUUCUUGAGUUCUUCAGCAAUCUAGGUUCCAGUGCUUGUGGGAUUUUCCUGUUUUGGCAAUUGAGCUGACCUUUUCGCUUUCUGAUUACCCUUUUCUUUUCCUUGACAAGUAAAAUAACUCUCAUGACUUUAGGGUUAGGGUUCAUGCAACCACAUUUUCAACAUUCUAAUUCGUAAAUCAGUACCAUUUUCUGUUACUCUUUAAUUCCUUGGUAUACGAGGGCAGGUCGAUAGGAAUAUUCCUAAUUUUAUUGCUUCCUAUAUCUUAAUUUUAAGGUUCCAAAAUUUGGUAGAUAACAUGUUAAGAAUUAUUCCUGCUGUUUUCUUUUUUGUUUUUUUAGUUGGCCUACAACUAGAAGUCAUUGUCUUGAACAAGCUUCCAAAAUGACCUGUUCUUCUUCCAUUAUCCUAUGAAUUUGAAUUAUUGUUGCCUUUCUCAGUUUAUAUAGGAUGUCAAAAACAACUCUUGAUUUCUUGAGUCCCACUUUGUUUUUGGCGUUGAAAAACAUUUUUGCAAAGAAAAUGAUUUUUUUUUGUAUUUUUAGUUUUUUUUAUAUGUGUCGAUAUUAAAAAUAAAUUUUUUAAAAUAAAAAAAAUAUGAUGUAUUUACAAGCAAAAAAUACUUCGAAAAUCAAUAGCUGCUCUUAAUAUCUCAUGAACAAUAUUGAAUUGCAUUUUGUGCCAAUCACAGGAGCUUAGUUUAUCAUUGAUAUUUGCUAUUUAGUAGUAGUUUUUAAUUUCCCCGACUACCCAAAAUUGAAAAGCAAAUCAUCCUGUUUAAUUUACAAAUCCAGUAGUGAAAUUGAAUCAUUGCACUUUCAUAAUUUGAUUUAGCUUGAAAAGAAUGUUUUAGGCUUUCAUAUAUAAUUUGUGUUAGCCAUAUUAAUGUUUGCUACUUGCAUAUAUUCAUCUCUCCGUCCAGCAUUUAAACAUCUGUGACAGCCAAUCGCCUCAGCUGAAUACGUUGUGAAAUUUCUUAAUUUUCAUGAAAAAUGGUUUAACAGAGCUUCCUUCAGUCCACUCAUGGACGGGCGAAGGGUUUGGAUUAGCUGCCGACUCAUUCAUUCAAACACAGUAGACAAGGAGUGGCAGCGGCUGCUAUUGUGAAUGUGUGAAUGACGCGGGAGAUUAAUUUCAUCCUUUUCUUCUCUGUGCUUGGACUGAAGGGAGCUCCCUUUAAUUGUUUAUUCACGAUCUUAGAUGACAAGAUCCUUUUCUUCAAAUUUCCUUCCUGUCAUGUCGAGGAAGUAAAACAUAUAAAUAUUCGUGUUAAUUAGAUCUCAAUAUUCACCCCGUA
Long non-coding RNA from Populus trichocarpa (black cottonwood), 1975 nucleotides. RefSeq lists it as uncharacterized. The transcript is spliced from 3 exons. NCBI's taxonomy places the organism in Eukaryota, Viridiplantae, Streptophyta, Magnoliopsida, Malpighiales, Salicaceae. The record is from RefSeq and is a predicted model, not a curated record.